RNAcentral lists this ribosomal RNA (876 nucleotides) under Coniochaeta velutina. Its description in RNAcentral is "SSU rRNA". It matches the Rfam family "Eukaryotic small subunit ribosomal RNA", at positions 93 to 978 of the family's 1831-position model. The record is from RNAcentral. Lineage: Eukaryota; Fungi; Ascomycota; Sordariomycetes; Coniochaetales; Coniochaetaceae.
AUGGCUCAUUAAAUCAGUUAUCGUUUAUUUGAUAGUACCUUACUACUUGGAUAACCGUGGUAAUUCUAGAGCUAAUACAUGCUAAAAAUCCCGACUUCGGAAGGGAUGUAUUUAUUAGAUUAAAAACCAAUGCCCUUCGGGGCUCUCUGGUGAUUCAUAAUAACUUCUCGAAUCGCACGGCCUUGCGCCGGCGAUGGUUCAUUCAAAUUUCUGCCCUAUCAACUUUCGACGGCUGGGUCUUGGCCAGCCAUGGUGACAACGGGUAACGGAGGGUUAGGGCUCGACCCCGGAGAAGGAGCCUGAGAAACGGCUACUACAUCCAAGGAAGGCAGCAGGCGCGCAAAUUACCCAAUCCCGACUCGGGGAGGUAGUGACAAUAAAUACUGAUACAGGGCUCUUUUGGGUCUUGUAAUUGGAAUGAGUACAAUUUAAAUCCCUUAACGAGGAACAAUUGGAGGGCAAGUCUGGUGCCAGCAGCCGCGGUAAUUCCAGCUCCAAUAGCGUAUAUUAAAGUUGUUGCAGUUAAAAAGCUCGUAGUUGAACCUUGGGCCUGGCUGGCCGGUCCGCCUCACCGCGUGCACUGGUCCGGCCGGGCCUUUCCCUCUGGGGAACCGCAUGCCCUUCACUGGGUGUGUCGGGGAACCAGGACUUUUACUUUGAACAAAUUAGAUCGCUUAAAGAAGGCCUAUGCUCGAAUACAUUAGCAUGGAAUAAUAGAAUAGGACGUGUGGUUCUAUUUUGUUGGUUUCUAGGACCGCCGUAAUGAUUAAUAGGGACAGUCGGGGGCAUCAGUAUUCAAUUGUCAGAGGUGAAAUUCUUGGAUUUAUUGAAGACUAACUACUGCGAAAGCAUUUGCCAAGGAUGUUUUCAUUAAUC